This 279-nucleotide long non-coding RNA is filed under the name Carica papaya (papaya). Its description in RNAcentral is "long non-coding RNA (CPAP_LNC003485)". The record is from RNAcentral. Lineage: Eukaryota; Viridiplantae; Streptophyta; Magnoliopsida; Brassicales; Caricaceae.
CUUGUGUAUAUGAUAAAGUGGAGAUGGAAGUGAUUUCCUGCAUGGACUCACCCACAUAGGAGCAAUCAACUACAGUGCAUUAAAAGAAUGUUGGCCGGUGAAUAUAUAGAUUUUGAUUGGUGGGUUUCACAGUUCGUUUUUUCAUGGAUGAUUCCAACUGCUUCUGAAAAUGGAAGAUAAAGAAUUAGAAAAUACAUGAUUGGUAGAUACAUAUAUAUAUAUAUAUAUAUUAUAUAUAUAUAACUAUUUCUUCCUUUUUAUGAGAUUGCAAAUUCCCAA